Molecule: ribosomal RNA, 495 nt
Filed under: uncultured bacterium
Lineage: Bacteria
Description: partial 16S ribosomal RNA
Rfam family: Bacterial small subunit ribosomal RNA
Source: RNAcentral
GACGAACGCUGGCGGCGUGCCUAAUACAUGCAAGUAGAACGCUGAAGGAGGAGCUUGCUUCUCUGGAUGAGUUGCGAACGGGUGAGUAACGCGUAGGUAACCUGCCUGGUAGCGGGGGAUAACUAUUGGAAACGAUAGCUAAUACCGCAUAAGAGUAGAUGUUGCAUGACAUUUACUUAAAAGGUGCAAUUGCAUCACUACCAGAUGGACCUGCGUUGUAUUAGCUAGUUGGUGAGGUAACGGCUCACCAAGGCAACGAUACUUAGCCGACCUGAGAGGGUGAUCGGCCACACUGGGACUGAGACACGGCCCAGACUCCUACGGGAGGCAGCAGUAGGGAAUCUUCGGCAAUGGACGGAAGUCUGACCGAGCAACGCCGCGUGAGUGAAGAAGGGUUUCGGAUCGUAAAGCUCUGUUGUAAGAGAAGAACGAGUGUGAGAGUGGAAAGUUCACACUGUGACGGUAUCUUACCAGAAAGGGACGGCUAACUACGUG